Molecule: ribosomal RNA, 361 nt
Filed under: uncultured bacterium
Lineage: Bacteria
Description: bacterial SSU rRNA
Rfam family: Bacterial small subunit ribosomal RNA
Source: RNAcentral
AACGAACGCUGGCGGCAGGCCUAACACAUGCAAGUCGAACGCUCCGCAAGGGGAGUGGCGCACGGGUGAGUAACACGUGGGAACCUACCUUCUGGUACGGAACAACCAAGGGAAACUUUGGCUAAGACCGUAUACGACCUCCGGGUGAAAGAUUGAUCGCCGGAAGAGGGGCCCGCGUCCGAUUAGGGUAGUUGGUGAGGUAACGGCUCACCAAGCCUUCGAUCGGUAGCUGGUCUGAGAGGAUGACCAGGCCACACUGGGACUGAGACACGGCCAGACUCCUACGGGAGGCAGCAGUGGGGAAUAUUGGACAAUGGGCGCAAGCCUGAUCCAGCCAUGCCGCGUGAGUGAUGAAGGCCUU